Molecule: long non-coding RNA, 5170 nt
Organism: Triticum aestivum (bread wheat)
Lineage: Eukaryota; Viridiplantae; Streptophyta; Magnoliopsida; Poales; Poaceae
Exons: 8
Source: RefSeq, a predicted model, not a curated record
GAAAAAAAACUGUGCAAAAAAAAACCCUACAAUCUAUCCCUCGUGCCCACAACAGAUCGUUCUCCGCCGCCCUCCCAUCGAUCUGCCGCCGAUCCCUGCGGAGCUUCCCUCCCCAAUCCGAUCUGACGGAGAGAGUGCCAGAUCCGGCCGGGGGAGCCGCCGUAGAGCCUCCACGUCGGUGGAGCAGCACCUCCUGCCACGGACGCCGCCGCCACCUCCUGCCUCACGACCCUUUGCCGCGACUCCGCCCCCAAGCGCCGCUCCCGCACGCAACCCUAACCCUAUCCCGCCAUGCCUCGCUGCCUCGCCGCUUGAGCCGCGCUGAUGGAGCCCGAGCAGCGGUGGCCGACCCCGUCACCGCCGCCGAGCCUGUGGACGAGGAGAAGGAGGAGGAGACGGAGGCGGCCGAGGACGAGGAGGACACGCUGCUGGACCGCGCGCAGCCUGAUCUCACGGGUCCCUUUGCACAUGUGCAGUUCGUCAAUGGACCAAUGCCUAAUCUCCCCAAGGUUGAUGUUUCACUGGACCCGGUGAAGGAGUUGAGCAGAGUAAUAUCUGAGCGAAAAAAUUGAGGGGCGUGCUUUGGUUGUGCUCUCAGGUUAUUUUACGAGGGUUGUGUGCACUGAACCCCAUUUCUCGGGACCAAAGUAUUCUUCUGGCCCUUUUCCAGCAACGGACAUGCGACAUAGCCAACUACACAUUUUUCCUAACAUUGAUGUUAACUAAUACAUGCAUCAGCUUUGUAUCAUAAAGAUUUCACCAUCCCAAGGUAAUGGAAAUAAGUUCACAAGAUUCGCAUGUUGAGGUCUGUACAAAGAGAUACAAGGCAAUGUCUGUGUGCUGGAAGGAGAAACUCACUGCCAAAGCUAUAAUCCCUGAUGCUAAAGCCUGCAUGUUCAAGUCUGCAGAGUUUACUCAUAUUACUGUAUGUUAGGUUCUUCACAGCUAGGAGCUCUUAAUCAAUUGUAGUUAUACUGAAAGAUUAAGAUGGAGGGAGUCAUUAAAAAUCAGCAAUCGUUCCAGCCAACCGGUAGUAGUGGGUACAGCAUUUGAAGACACCAAAAAGAGCCUUGGACUCUGAUGGAUAAUGAUUAAUACAGAGGGAGCCCUUUUGUCAGGUCAUUUAAUCAUUAAAUCAUACGUAAAAUUAUCUCAGGUAACUUACUACUACCUUUGUUCGAAAAUAAGUGCCGUUAACUUAGUACACCUUUGCACUAAAAUUGUACUAAAUCCGUGACACUUAUUUUGGGACAGAGGGAGUAUUUCAUUUUCUACCUGAACCAAGUUGUUAUUUCAUUUCUAAGAGGCAAAGAGUUCCUCCUGGUUAGUUUGCCACAUUUUAUAUGUCUGUCUAUGUGCAUUACUAAUUCACUAUAUGCACCUUUAGUUCCCAGUUUUGGCUCACUUUCUUGAUGCAUCUCGGAUGAGAGGAAAGGAAUGGAUAAUCUGACAAGCAAUGUUCGGGCAUACCCUUAUAUUUACGUCUGAUGAAAUGCUGCGGGUGCAAACUAAUCAAGACUGCUGCCAUGAGCAAAAGAGCAGACAUUACUUAUGAGAAAACAAUAAAAGAAUCUUCCAUGACUACAUACCACGACGAGUCAAAGACGAUGAAAGCACUACUCCAUUGGUGGUGUUAGCAAGUGGAGUCUGGAGGGAGAACAACACAAAGUAGGAAAUUGAUUCCCUCGCCCUCGCUUGCUUCAACGACCCCGCCCGUCUUGGUGGGGUCGAUUCCCCCAUCGCCCGACUCAUCUCAGACGAGAUCCAGUGGUAAUGUAAUUUUGGUCGGGCAGGGGUUUGUGAAGAAAACUAGCAAGGUUCAUAGAUGCACCCAGGUGGAAUACUUACUUUCCAAAUGUCAAGUAUUUUUAAAAAAUUAGACAUAUAAAUGUCUGAGUCCUUUGUGUGCUUGUCAAAUAUCAUGCAAAAAUGAUAAAGAGGACGAGGUUAUGAGGUAAUGUGCUCGGGCGGGAGGAAGAGGUACUGGUUCAAACCAUGAAAGUUCUUAGCUCAUAAUUGCUACCAAUUCUACAGAAAAGGUUGUGAUUUUGUUAACCUGACUAGAGCUUUCAUGUUAUGUCAGUCCUUUAUUUAGAUGAUUUAGCUGUUGACCUACCGUUCCUUUCUAUCAUCCAUGGGCUAAAAAAUGAAUUAUCAACAAGUAUGGUGAUAGCCAGCGUUACUGUGAUCUCCAAAGAACAAUAACUAUGCAACAUAGUGCUGAACUUUGACAUUUUCGUUUUGCUAUAAAUUUCCUUUUAAUAUUUCGUAAUUUGUUUAAUUAAUCUUUCUAUUAAUAUUUGGUUUCACUAUAGUAAAUUUAUUUGAAGGUCUCCAUGAUGGCAUAAUUCUAUGUAGACUGAUGUGUCGAUUAUUUUGGCAUGCAUUUAUUUGCCCAACAUUACCUAGAUACUUAGUGCCAUUACAAUGACAUCCCGUUUUAUUUCAGAAAGUGAUUGCUCCAUCACAUACACAUUAAAAGAAAUUGCACAACUGCACCAUGGCUAUCCAGUAUAUCAAGCAAGAUUAAUCUAAACAUACCUUACAGCAUCUCAUUACUCCCGUCGAAGUAAUCUAAACAUGUUCUUAAUGGCGACAAAUUUGAGCAGAAGAUAUUCUUAAUGGCAACAAGUAACUAAUUCUUUCGUUUCUAUGGAAUAUGUAAAUUCAUAUGCAGGUAAGCAGGUUAAUCUAAACAUGCCUUACAGUAUCCCAUUACUCUUGUUGAAAUUUUAUACUGUUAGAUUUCACCUUUGUUUGUAUUAAAUAUCUGAAGUAACGGAGCUUGAUUUUCAGUUUUGUUUUUUCACUCACUUCAUAGCCAACAUUACAGUGGUAUAUGUUGUAUGUAUUUCAGCACUACACUUUUCCCUCGGUCUAUAUAGUCACUGUUACUUGCCUAAAGACCGGGAAUUUUCGUUGUUCCGUUUCAACAACACGGUAUAAAUCCAAAUAGUUACUAUUACCUGAGGACAGCUUGUCUUCCCCAACAUGGGAUUUGUUGUUAACUCUACUCAUCUUCGAUGUUUAUACAUGAUUGGCAAGUGUCAGCAACUUCUCGUGUUCACUUUUGGUUAGCAAAGGUUUUGAUAUAACAGUCAGAUAUUUAUGUUUGCGAUUAGCUCAUAGGUGAGACUCUGGGUUCCCCUCCCCUCUGUCGAUCGCUCCAGCAGCGAGAGGGUCGGGGAGCCCCUGUUCUCUGCUUUGGUGUGUAUAUAGGGUGUGUGGAGAUUUCGUCUCCUGGCUUCGUCCCCAUGGCGGCUGGGCGUGCUUCAUCCCUCAUCAUGGAGCCUAGGAGUCAUGUUCAGGAGUUGGAGCGGCGCCAGAUCUCCCCAUGUCUCGUCCUUGGUGGUUCUUCAUCAUGUUGCAUCUCCGGUGUGCUGGUCCUACUGGACCGAGGUUGACGACUUCCUGGCCGCAAAGAACCUGUCUGCACUCUACAAGAUCAUGCUGGCAAAAUGUAGAGCGGCGCCUGAUCUCCCCAUGCCUCAUCCUUGGUGCUUCUUUGUCAUGUUGCACCUCCGGUGUGAUGGUCCUACUGGACAGAGGUUAACGACUUCCUGGUCGCGAAGCAUCCGUCCGCACUCUACAAGGUCACGUCGGCUCCAUGUUGGAGCGGGAGCGCGCCUUGAGCCCGCAUCUGAGUUUGUUGUAUCUGAGUUUGUGGUGGGUCGAAGCCCCAAGGACCCGAUUGUGAUUUGUGUUUUCUCUAGGGUGCUUAUACCACUGGUGUUCUUUAAUAUAUGACCUGGGUCUUCUCCACAAGAAAGGGUGAUAUCUAUCAUUUGUAAUGCAUUGCACACUACAGAGUUAUGUGUUUGUGCUACUUUCUUUAUUUUGUGCAUCAGAUAUGGAAGUAUACAUCGUUGGAUUUCAUUUUUAUUUUGAAAACCCAUUGCAAGUGAAGUGGAUUUCAAUUAUUUCUUGUAUAUUAUUGGCUACUUUUUUAUACAUGUGAAAUAUGACAUGCCUUAUGCUUAUAUAUCCAAUUAUCCACUAUGUAUUGCAGAUAGCAAUAUUGAAUGGCUUUAGUAACAUUUCCCUUUUCAAGGCAUAAUGUCUGUCCUGGUACUUGCACCGGACAUAAACUAUUGUAAAUAUAGUAAAGUCUUAUAAUUCUAUUGUGGGAUUUCACUCUUUGGUGUGUGACAGGCUAGCGGUUGUGCUUGCUGUCUCCAGUGUUUAGGUGGAAACUACAUAAUCAUAUUUGGUAACUUUGGGGAGAAGUUGGGAUUUUUGUUGGUAUGCAGGUCAGAUACAACACUAACCAAUGUGCAUGUAUUGCUCAAAUAUUUCACUGGGCCUAUUACAUUACUGUACUUAGUAUAAAACAUGCUCUGGCACUGAUCGUACAACUUUGCAUGAAUACUCCAGUAGGUCGACCCCUCUAAUUUAUGCCAUGAAUGUAAAUAAGCUAUACUAUUAAACUGCCUGGCCUUAGUCUUUUAUGCAUUAAUUAUUAACUAGGAAUGAGAUGUUAUGAGGUACCGGACAUAAACAAUUGUAAAUAUAGUAAAAUCUUUUUUUCUCUAUUGAGGGAUUUCACUCAUUGUUGUGUGACAGACUGAGAGUUGUGCUUGCUAUCUCCAGUGUUCAGGUGGAAACUACAGAAUCAUAUUUGCUAACUGUGGGAAAGCUGGGAUUUUUGUUGGUAUGCAUGUCAGAUACAAGACUAACCAAUGUGCAUGUAUUGCUCAAAUAUUUCAGUGGUCCUAUUACAUUACUGUAUUUAGUAAAAACAUGCUCUGGCUCUUUGCACUAAUACUCCGGUAGGUCGGCCCUUCUAAUUUAUUCCUGAAUGUAAAUAAAUUCUAUUAAAUUGUCUGGCCUUAUUUUUUGUGCAUUAAUUAAUAACUUUUUAUUUUUCGAGACAAAUGUGGCCCUGCUUGAUCUUAGGUUAAUAAUUUUAUAUUGCUGGCAGAUUAAUUCAUAUAGCUCUUUAACUUUUGGAAGAGAUAACUCAGAUGACUUAUGAGAAGAUGCUCUGAUAGAUGUGCAAUGUACCAAAAAAGAGUUCUUUUGGCAACAUAAUUUCAUGUAAUUUGUGCGGAGCUACCUUGAAAGAGCAAUAAAACUCUAGACGGAGCAAGGACCACCACAUGGUGAACACUUGCACCUGUGCAUGAAGAGCGCCAGCCGUUGAAUGGCGUGGCACAUCAAGUCAGGGAAA